CCCCCCCCCCCCCCCCCCCCCCCCCCCCCCCCCCCCCCCCCCCCCCAGGCCUUUGUGCCCUGGGCUGGGCAGCGCCUUUGCAGCCCCACAGAAGGAACUUUCCUUGCAGGGGCUGCACUUUGCUGCUGCCUCGGCCCUCCCUGAGCAGCUGGCAGGGCUUGCAGGGUGAUGCCAUUUGUCCUUCUGCCCCUCCCAUCCCAGUGCCCCAGGAACAGCCCCGAGCCACCCGUGAGGGACAGGCCUUGCUCAGCAUUGCAGUUCCUGCUCACAGCCUUUGGCUCCUGCAAUCCUGCCCUCAAGGAUCUGCUCUCACCAGUCCCUGGGGAGCCUUUGGCAGUCCCUGCCCUCAGUGGGGCCAGUGAUGCUCCAAGGGACUUGGAGUUUGGCUUCUGCCUCCUUGGGCAGCUUCUUCAACCUUCUCUCAGUGCCUGAGGUUCCUGGACUCAGCCCCAAAUCCACCAUGGGGAUUGUUAUAGACUUAGAAUGGAAACCGAAUUCAGUCAGUCUUGAUCAAUUUGAGUUUAUUUAGCAAGCGACAGUAGGCAAAACAGUGCUGGGCGGCCGGGAGGCACUGCUCCACAAACGGCGCUCAAUUUCUCUCUCCCCCCGAGGUCUUUUUAUGCAGUUCUAAUUCAGCUGACAUGUCCUUUCUUGGAGUACUCUGCAUCCGCGAGGCCCGUUGCUGGGGGGAUCGAAAUCUCUUCUUCUGGUGGUCGCAGCAGGGGAGAGGCGCUGGGUGCUUUUCUUGUUUAUUCUGCCUAGCCUAGGGGAAAAUCCUUAAAGAACCGGUGAAACAGCCCAGCCGCUACUUUUAGCAUAAAUUAUGCAUACCAUGCUUUGUGAUUUGAAACUAUGUGGUCAAAGUCUAUACCCGUCUCACCUUUGGCUGAAAUUCAUUAUUUCUUACUAGGAGUUUUAAUGAACAAAGUGCUUAUACCGUAUCACAGGGAUGAUUAAAAUACAGAAAGCCCUCAGGAGCUCUUUGUCUUUCUUCAAUUGUUUUCAAGUCUCCAGGGCUUGUGCUUCUGCUUGGGGUCAGUUUGGAUUUCUUUUAAGGAAGGUGAUUUCAAAGUGAAUUUUGGUUUUAAUCAAGGACAUAUUAUUUUAUUUUUUCAGUUCAGACUAGAGGUAACUUAAACUCCUUAAGUUACCCCGAUGCUGAAUGUCUCCUUAGGAGGUCUGGGCAGAGAAAUGAAUGAGCCCUCUGCUGGCUGACCCUAUGAUUUCAAAGUGAAUUUUGGUUUUAAUCAAGGACAUAUUAUUUUAUUUUUUCAGUUCAGACUAGAGGUAACUUAAACUCCUUAAGUUACCCCGAUGCUGAAUGUCUCCUUAGGAGGUCUGGGCAGAGAAAUGAAUGAGCCCUCUGCUGGCUGACCCUAUGUGGACAAACUGCUCCUCACCCCCAACCUCACCAUAUCCAAAAUUGGACACGUUGAACUGAAAUCCCAGAAUAUUAAAGNNNNNNNNNNNNNNNNNNNNNNNNNNNNNNNNNNNNNNNNNNCUUAUUUUAAUCCCUUUGU
This 1520-nucleotide long non-coding RNA is filed under the name Ficedula albicollis (Collared flycatcher). Its description in RNAcentral is "lncRNA (ENSFALG00000028041.1)". Lineage: Eukaryota; Metazoa; Chordata; Aves; Passeriformes; Muscicapidae. The record is from RNAcentral.